UGGUGGUUCAGUGGUAGAAUUCUCG
RNAcentral lists this non-coding RNA (25 nucleotides) under Danio rerio (zebrafish). Lineage: Eukaryota; Metazoa; Chordata; Actinopteri; Cypriniformes; Danionidae. RNAcentral also lists the same sequence under 4 other names. The record is from RNAcentral.